RNAcentral lists this microRNA precursor (73 nucleotides) under Procavia capensis (Cape rock hyrax). Its description in RNAcentral is "miRNA (ENSPCAG00000020395.1)". Lineage: Eukaryota; Metazoa; Chordata; Mammalia; Hyracoidea; Procaviidae. The record is from RNAcentral.
CUUCAGGCCCCUGUUCAGGCGCCAGAAUGUCGCUGCCUAACUGUCCGCCAGCGGAAAGAAGACAGGACACAUG